This 254-nucleotide ribosomal RNA is filed under the name uncultured bacterium. RNAcentral describes it as "partial 16S ribosomal RNA". It matches the Rfam family "Archaeal small subunit ribosomal RNA", at positions 474 to 727 of the family's 1478-position model. The record is from RNAcentral.
CACCAGCGUCACGAGUGGCGAUCAUAUUUAUUGGGUCUAAAGCGUUCGUAGCCGGUUAGAUAAAUCUUUUGUGAAAUUGUUGGGCUUAACUUAACAACGUGCAGAAGAAACUGUUUAACUAGGGACCGGGAGGAGUUAGAGGUAUGCCUUGGGGAGUGGUAAAAUAUGAUAAUCCAAGGUGGACCACCUGUGGCGAAGGCGUCUAACUAGAACGGGUCCGACGGUGAGGAACGAAGGCCAGGGGAGCGAAUCGG